UAGGCCAAAUUUCAUUUCAGGCGACUUUUUUGUUGCGACGAAAACAUAUUCGUCGCACAAUUUGCGACUUUUUUAAACAACAUCGUCGCAAAUAAAUGUAAAUAAUAAAUUUAUAUAAAUUUUUGCGACGAAUACUAAUAUCGUCGCCAACAAAUGUCGCACAUUUAAACACUAAAAUUUUCCACUAAUUAUUGCGACGAAAAUAAAAAAAUUUUCGCUACAUUGCGACGAUAAUAGAAGAAUACGUCGCAAUACAAAAUAAAAAUUAAAUUGUUUUUUAAUAAAGUCAUAUUGCGACGUUAUUUCAUAACCGUCGCAAAUUGAAUGGGGCUGUUGCGACGUUCCAGUUGCGACAUUUUAUAUUUCGUCGCAAGAUUGCGACGUAAUUACCUUAAGUGUCGCAAUGAAAAAAUAAAGAAUAUAUUAGCCAUUUUUAUUGCGACGAAAAUAGUAAAAACGUCGCAAUUCUAAAUCUAAAAUUUUCGACGUUUUCUCGAAUGCGUCGCAAUAUUAUUAUCCGCAUUUUUUUGAAAUACAUUUGGAUGUGACGUAUUUAAAAUAAAAGUCGCAAUUUAGUUGAAGCUUGCAACGUUUUUAUUUUAAAGUCGCAAAUUAAUUAGUAAAAAUAUUUAUGCCCUAAUUUUCUCUCCAUCUCCUUUAUCCCUCUCACUCUCUCGCUACUUCUCUCUCACAACCCUCUGACAAAGCCUCUGCACAACCCUACGCCGCCCUUCGUCGACGCCACCACAGCCCUUCGCCGACGCCACCACAGCCCUUCGCCGACGCACCAGGAGCCCACACCGAAGUUUUCUUCCUCGGUCUUCUCACCGCGAGUACACCGCCAAGGCCACCUCCACCAUCGCACCUACGCCGACGCCACCACUGCACUUCUCGACGCUAGCCUACACCAAAUUCUUGAAACUUGAAACCCGUUAAUCAAUCGCUUUAUUGUUCGCUGCCGCAGACCACUCGUUCACCGUUGCAUUUGCUCUUUACCUUGUUGAAGAUGUUGAAACUUCUUAGUCAAAACUGCCAAGCAAAGAAAGAAGUGGAGAUUGAUCUGCUGAGUGAUGCUUGUGAUGAAGUGCAAAAGAAGAUUGAGAAUGAGUCCGAGCAGCAUAAUCCUUCCGUCACCUGCAAAUAGUUUUAAUGAAGAUGAAGGAGAAAAUGAGGAUUAAUUUAUCUUUAUAAAGAUACAACAUUAGCAAUUUGUAUAUUUUAAAUUCAUGUUUGGAUGAUUUUACCUAAAUGUGAAUUUUAAAGCAGUGGAUAUAAAUUUUGAGUUGUUUAAUGAUUUUAUUGGUAUUA
Long non-coding RNA from Erythranthe guttata (spotted monkey flower), 1308 nucleotides. RefSeq lists it as uncharacterized. The record is from RefSeq and is a predicted model, not a curated record. Lineage: Eukaryota; Viridiplantae; Streptophyta; Magnoliopsida; Lamiales; Phrymaceae.